Molecule: long non-coding RNA, 512 nt
Organism: Oncorhynchus kisutch (coho salmon)
Lineage: Eukaryota; Metazoa; Chordata; Actinopteri; Salmoniformes; Salmonidae
Exons: 2
Source: RefSeq, a predicted model, not a curated record
UUCAGAACCACAAGUCCAUCCUAUGCAAACUGGAGAUGUCUGUGUCACUGCAUGCUGUGACAUGGGUCUGGAUGGUGACACAUCUUCAAGCUGCCGGACUGAAGACUGUGGCCUUCAUUGGUACCAGAAGCAAGGGCCUUACCUAAGAAUACAGCAAGUCUCCCUCUCGAUCUCACAGCCUUUCUGUCAACAUGUAUGUACCCACUCAAAUUCACACCAACAGCUACGGACACAAGAACAGACUUUUAUUCACUUGUUUUUACUUGUCGCAGUCUUCAAUCUUGUCUGGGAUAUAUAUUUUAGUUGCCAAACCUGUGUGAUGUCUGAUAUACAUAAACAAUGUAUUCACCCCGGACAUGAGAAUUGUAUUUACUUUAGACCUUUUGAAUCAUCAAGUGUCGUCUUUGUGUUUAAGCUACCACAGAAGUUAGUCAAAGCUGAUGUGACAAACAUGCAUGUACAAAUUGUUUUGUAAUCUAACAAUACAAUUAAAUAGAGUUUAUACAAAACUA